Molecule: long non-coding RNA, 143 nt
Organism: Thalassophryne amazonica
Lineage: Eukaryota; Metazoa; Chordata; Actinopteri; Batrachoidiformes; Batrachoididae
Exons: 4
Source: RefSeq, a predicted model, not a curated record
ACACUUUGUUGUCAGGUAAAAGCCACAUGUUAGCUGAUGACUUACAUUCUAACAUUUGAGGUAGAAAUAAUAUAAAUUUUGAUCCAAUACAAACAUUCAAAAGCCACUUGGCACAAAUUAAAGAUUUCUGAUUGAUAUGUGGA